This 1480-nucleotide ribosomal RNA is filed under the name uncultured prokaryote. Its description in RNAcentral is "partial 16S ribosomal RNA". It matches the Rfam family "Bacterial small subunit ribosomal RNA". The record is from RNAcentral.
AGAGUUUGAUCCUGGCUCAGAUUGAACGCUGGCGGCAUGGCUAAAACAUGCAAGUCGAGCGCGAAAGUUCCUUCGGGAGCGAGUAGAGCGGCGAAAGGGCGAGGAAUACGUUUCUAACGUACCCCAAGGUCGGGGAUAGCGGCUGGAAACGGCCGGUAAUACCCGAUGACCCCCGCGGGCCGCAUGGCCUGCGGGGCAAAGGCUUGCUGCCUAGAGAGCGGGGAACGUCCUAUCAGGUUGUUGGUGAGGUAAAAGCUCACCAAGCCUAAGACGGGUAGCGGGUGUGAGAGCAUGACCCGCCGCAUCGGGACUGAGACACUGCCCGGACUCCUACGGGAGGCUGCAGUAACGAAUAUUCCGCAAUGCACGAAAGUGUGACGGAGCAAUGCCGCGUGCAGGAUGAAGCCUCUAGGGGUGUAAACUGCUGUCAGGGUUUAGGAAUAAUGACCAGACCCAAAGGAAGGGCCGGCUAACUUCGUGCCAGCAGCCGCGGUAAUACGAAGGGCCCGAGCGUUGCGCGGAAUCACUGGGCUUAAAGCGUGCGCAGGCGGAUCUGUAAGUACCUUGUGAAAUCCCAUGGCUCAACCAUGGAACUGCUCGGUAUACUGCAAAUCUUGAGAUCGGUAGGGGCCAUCGGAACGAUAGGUGGAGCGGUGAAAUGCGUAGAUAUCUACAGGAAACACAAAGACGAAAGUAGGGCACCUGGGCCCGGUUCUGACGCUCAAGCACGAAAGCGUGGGGAGCAAACAAGAUUAGAUACCCUGUGUAGUCCACCGCGUAAACGAUGUGCACUAGAUUCCAGAAGCUCUGACGCCAUUCCGGGUCGAAGCAAAAAGUGUUAAGUGCACCGGCCUGGGGAGUACGGUCGCAAGGCUAAAACUCAAAGGAAUUGACGGGGCUCACACAAGCGGUGGAGCAUGUGGCUUAAUCGAAAGCAACGCGAAGAACCUUAUCCUGGGUUUGACAUGCACGGAUACCCUCGCCGAAAGGCGAGUAAGUUGCCCAUUCGGGUGGAACAUGCACAGGUGCUGCAUGGCUGUCGUGAGCUCGUGCUGUGAAGUGUCGGGUUAAGUCCCUUAACGAGCGAAACCCUUGCCGCUAGUUGCUAUCGGGGAACGUAAUGCUGAGGACUCUAACGAGACUGCCGGUGUCAAACCGGAGGAAGGUGGGGAUGACGUCAAGUCCUCAUGGCCUUUAUGUCCAGGGCUGCACACGUGCUACAAUGGUAUGUACAGAGCGACGCGAGACCGCGAGGUGGAGCAAAUCGCAAAAAACAUACCCCAGUUCGGAUCGUAGUCUGCAACUCGACUACGUGAAGUUGGAAUCGCUAGUAAUCGCGUAUCAGCUACGACGCGGUGAAUACGUUCCUGAGCCUUGUACACACCGCCCGUCAAGUCAUGGAAGCCGGGAGUGCCCGAAGCCGCCCUAUUUCAGGGGUGUCGAAGGUAAGUUCGGUGACUGGGACUAAGUCGUAACAAGG